AAGGAGGUGCAGGAGCAGGACGGGCAGGAAUUAAGUUUCCCUGAGAUGAUACUUUCGGUUGUGGUGGAGGUGGCCUGAUGGCAAAUGCAGAGGUUGC
This is a long non-coding RNA of Cebus imitator (Panamanian white-faced capuchin), 97 nucleotides long. RefSeq lists it as uncharacterized. The transcript is spliced from 3 exons. NCBI's taxonomy places the organism in Eukaryota, Metazoa, Chordata, Mammalia, Primates, Cebidae. The record is from RefSeq and is a predicted model, not a curated record.